Symphalangus syndactylus (siamang) is the source of this 73-nucleotide non-coding RNA. NCBI's taxonomy places the organism in Eukaryota, Metazoa, Chordata, Mammalia, Primates, Hylobatidae. The record is from the annotation of a RefSeq genome assembly.
GGUUCCAUAGUGUAGUGGUUAUCACAUCUGCUUCACACGCAGAAGGUCCUGGGUUCAGUCCCCAGUGGAACCA